UACGGAGGGUCCAAGCGUUAUCCGGAAUCAUUGGGCUUAAAGGGUCCGUAGGCGGGUUAAUAGGUCAGUGGUGAAAGUCUGCAGCUCAACUGUAGAAUUGCCAUUGAUACUGUUAACCUUGAGUAUUUAUGAAGUGGUUAGGAUAUGUAGUGUAGCGGUGAAAUGCAUAGAUAUUACAUAGUAUACCGAUUGCGAAGGCAGAUCACUAAUAAUUCACUGACGCUGAUGGACGAAAGCUUAGGUAGCGAACAGG
Molecule: unclassified non-coding RNA, 253 nt
Filed under: uncultured Flavobacteriaceae bacterium
Lineage: Bacteria; Pseudomonadati; Bacteroidota; Flavobacteriia; Flavobacteriales; Flavobacteriaceae
Description: contains 16S-23S intergenic spacer region
Rfam family: Bacterial small subunit ribosomal RNA
Source: RNAcentral